GAACGGGAGUUUCCUCCAUUGG
This 22-nucleotide microRNA is filed under the name Drosophila melanogaster (fruit fly). RNAcentral describes it as "dme-miR-9378-3p". The record is from miRBase by way of RNAcentral. Lineage: Eukaryota; Metazoa; Arthropoda; Insecta; Diptera; Drosophilidae.